ACAGUGUGUGUGCUUGUUUUUGUUUCUGUGUAUGUUUGAGGAGAUGUUGGGUUGUUGUAUGGGUCAUAGAGCCAAUUACCUGAAAGUACAUGGAAGGCUUUUUGGUGAAGAGAAGGAACAGAAAAUAGAAUGUUUGAAACAGUCGUUCUUUUGGAGGUAUGCAGAAGAAAGGCCAAGAGAAGAGGUCUUUUGUGACAGAGCCUUCUUCCGUAAGGAGAUGUAUGAAUAAUUCAGUGUCAGGAUUUCCCAAGAGAUUGUGUCAAAUGUUGAAUGAAGAUCUACAAAAGCCACCAAUAAUUUUCCUGACAAUAAUUUGCAAUAUUUUUGACAACUUGAAAGGGGGUCAGGCAAUGAUCCAGUGUGGAAGAACUUUCCUUAAAGCCAAUCUGUUCCAUACCAAUAAUGUUAGAAAACUUAACUGAGUCUCUCAACUUAAUAGCAAGAUAAGAAGCAUACAUUUCCCCAAUAACAGAAAGCAGGUUUAUAGGACGAUAGUUAUUAGAGUCAGACCUUGUGCUUAGGGUAGUGAUAAUAAUAACUCUGCUCCAUAAAGAAGGAAUAUUCCCAGAAUUGGUAAUCAGUGAGAAGCGAUUAGCUAAUAGAGGGCCCACCAAUCCAGAUUUCACUUCAGGACCUCAGAUGGGAUACCAACUGAACUGGGACUGGCUGUGCAGGCCUUGGCCCAGUGUCUGGAUGCAGUAGUGGGCUCAAUAAGAGCUAACAAACUGAGCCUGAAUCCUGGCAAGACAGAGGCUCUGUGGUGAGUUGUUCCUACAUCCAGGAGGUAAACCAGUUGUCUGACCUAGAUGGGCUUGCGCUCUCCCUGAAGGAGCAGUCUGGGGUGUUUCUAGAACCAGCAGUGCCGCUGAAGGCACAGGUGGCCUCAGUGGCUAGGAGUGUA
Molecule: long non-coding RNA, 901 nt
Organism: Rhineura floridana
Lineage: Eukaryota; Metazoa; Chordata; Lepidosauria; Squamata; Rhineuridae
Exons: 3
Source: RefSeq, a predicted model, not a curated record